CAAUGGAACCAAUUAAAUAACCACCGCACUUGAAACACUCCUUAGACAUCAAUUAAUUAAUCGAUUUAAGAAAAUAGGUUAGCUUUUGGUUCACAAUACUACGACUUAAUAUGAUUUUUAUGAGAGCUUUAAUGGUCUCAAAUACAUCCUAAUUUAAUUAGUCAUAAUGAUGCACUAUAAUAGUUGUAUCUUAAUAAUCAUAACAACUAAUUAUGGCAUCUUAUCAUAUCUCUAAGAUAUAGAAGCAGAAUCAUAUAAUAUGAUUAUAACUAAACAUCUCAAGCAUAUCAUAUAUGCAUGAAGUUCUAAUAAUAUGCAUGAAUAUAAAACUCUUUUUUUGUGGUUCUUCUUCUUGAAACAUCACAGUGGCACCCCUACACACCAAAAGAGUACCCUAUUGAAUAGGAAGAGAGGGUCUCUGAACCCUACUUGCUCU
RNAcentral lists this long non-coding RNA (436 nucleotides) under Elaeis guineensis (African oil palm). RNAcentral's name for it is "long non-coding RNA (EGUI_LNC056345)". Lineage: Eukaryota; Viridiplantae; Streptophyta; Magnoliopsida; Arecales; Arecaceae. The record is from RNAcentral.